RNAcentral lists this ribosomal RNA (1115 nucleotides) under marine metagenome. Its description in RNAcentral is "bacterial SSU rRNA". It matches the Rfam family "Bacterial small subunit ribosomal RNA", at positions 389 to 1520 of the family's 1533-position model. The record is from RNAcentral.
GAGCACGCCGCGUGAGGGAUGAAGGCCUCUGGGCUGUAAACCUCUUUUCUCAAGGAAGAAGAUCUGACGGUACUUGAGGAAUAAGCCACGGCUAAUUCCGUGCCAGCAGCCGCGGUAAUACGGGAGUGGCAAGCGUUAUCCGGAAUUAUUGGGCGUAAAGCGUCCGCAGGCGGCCCUUCAAGUCUGCUGUUAAAAAGUGGAGCUUAACUCCAUCGUGGCAGUGGAAACUGUUGGGCUAGAGUGUGGUAGGGGCAGAGGGAAUUCCCGGUGUAGCGGUGAAAUGCGUAGAUAUCGGGAAGAACACCAGUGGCGAAGGCGCUCUGCUGGGCCAUAACUGACGCUCAUGGACGAAAGCCAGGGGAGCGAAAGGGAUUAGAUACCCCUGUAGUCCUGGCCGUAAACGAUGAACACUAGGUGUCGGGGGAAUCGACCCCCUCGGUGUCGUAGCCAACGCGUUAAGUGUUCCGCCUGGGGAGUACGCACGCAAGUGUGAAACUCAAAGGAAUUGACGGGGGCCCGCACAAGCGGUGGAGUAUGUGGUUUAAUUCGAUGCAACGCGAAGAACCUUACCAGGGUUUGACAUCCUGCGAAUCUCCUGGAAACGGGAGAGUGCCUUCGGGAACGCAGUGACAGGUGGUGCAUGGCUGUCGUCAGCUCGUGUCGUGAGAUGUUGGGUUAAGUCCCGCAACGAGCGCAACCCACGUCUUUAGUUGCCAGCAUUCAGUUGGGCACUCUAGAGAGACCGCCGGUGAUAAACCGGAGGAAGGUGUGGAUGACGUCAAGUCAUCAUGCCCCUUACAUCCUGGGCUACACACGUACUACAAUGCUACGGACAAAGGGCAGCAAACUCGCGAGAGCUAGCAAAUCCCAUAAACCGUGGCUCAGUUCAGAUCGUAGGCUGCAACUCGCCUACGUGAAGGAGGAAUCGCUAGUAAUCGCACGUCAGCAUACUGCGGUGAAUACGUUCCCGGGCCUUGUACACACCGCCCGUCACACCAUGGAAGUUGGCCACGCCCGAAGCCGUUACUCCAACCCUUGUGGAGGAGGACGUCGAAGGUGGGGCUGAUGACUGGGGUGAAGUCGUAACAAGGUAGCCGUACCGGAAGGUGCGGCUG